GUAACUGGACUCGAAAGAAGCAGCGUAAUACCGCAUACGAACCUGAGGGUGGAAAGCGGGGGAGUCGCAAGACCUCGCGCGAUUGGAGCGGCCGAUAUCAGAUUAGGUAGUUGGUGAGGUAAAGGCUACACCAAGCCGACGAUCUGUAGCUGGUCUGAGAGGACGACCAGCCACACUGGGACUGAGACACGGCCCAGACUCCUACGGGAGGCAGCAGUGGGGAAUUUUGGACAAUGGGCGCAAGCCUGAUCCAGCCAUGCCGCGUGCGGGAAGAAGGCCUUCGGGUUGUAAACCGCUUUUUGUCAGGGAAGAAAAGGUUCUGGCUAAUACCUGGGACUCAUGACGGUACCUGAAGAAUAAGCACCGGCUAACUACGUG
RNAcentral lists this ribosomal RNA (378 nucleotides) under uncultured Roseateles sp. RNAcentral describes it as "bacterial SSU rRNA". It matches the Rfam family "Bacterial small subunit ribosomal RNA", at positions 141 to 507 of the family's 1533-position model. The record is from RNAcentral. Lineage: Bacteria; Pseudomonadati; Pseudomonadota; Betaproteobacteria; Burkholderiales; Sphaerotilaceae.